CCACUUGUUGUUGAUUCUUCACAAAAAAAUACAGUUUUAUAUCUUUAUGUUUGAAGCCUGAAAUGUGGAAAAAGGUCGCAAAGUUCAAGGGGGCCGAAUACUUUCGCAAGGCACUGUAUAUAUAUAUUUACAUGUACUUAUUUUAAGAAUGUUACUAAUAACAACAGAUAAAACACAUUUUUUUCAAGGGAUCUGUGGAUUAAGUUCAGAGGGGACAAUACAUGUAGGCCUAAUAUUAUUAAUCUACAAUUCAGGUUGGUAGCCCUGUCCUGCAGUCAAAUGACUACUGGCCUCAUGGGUGCAAUGAUAUUAAUAUUUUUCAUAAAUAAACCUCGUUUUUUUUAAACAACUGGUUUUGUUAUAUUUCAGUCUUCUGUGAUGUAUAUAAAGUGUAAUAUUGGGUUGCAAACUCAAAAUGCAAUAGAUUUCAACUCUAUAUCUGACAUGGUACAGGUGUCUCCUAUUUAAAAGCCCAUAACCAUGUGUGUGAGGUGUAUACUUUGGUUUCAAAGUAGAUUUGUUUAAGAAUGCCAAGAAACACUCUGUGACCCUGAUUUAGCCCACUGCAGUAAAAGGUUAACCCUGGGCAACAUGGGCAUGGGAGGCUCACAGGGAUAUUGGUAUCCACAGUACUCCACCAAUUAUCAAUUAUUUAUUUUUUACAUAAAUGCACUGCAAUUUUUAAAUAUUUUUUUGUUUAACCUUUAUUUAAGUUGGCAAGUCAGAUAAGAACAAAUUCUUAUUUACAAUGACGGCCUACACCGGCCAAACCCGUGCGGCGAUGGGCUAAUUGUGCGCCGCCCAAUGGGACUCCCAACCACGGCCGGUUGUGAUACAGCCUGGAUUCGAUCCACGGUGUUUGUAGUGACGCCUUAAGCACUAAGAUGCGCUACUCGGGAAAAACUGUACAAUGUGUGUAGAAUUGCAGGAUAUUAGCUUUCAAGUUGGAACAACAAACAAUCUCUCUGCCCCAUGAUAAAAUGCAUAGAACUGCAGGAAAUUAGCUAGAAAACUGCUAAAUGUUCUCUCCGAUGCCAGUAGGUGGACCUUUAAAAUGUUCCAUCACAAGGCCUGAGACUUGGUUCGUCCGGCCAUGUACAACACUGGAGUUGUGUUCUGAUUAUCAGGGGGGUCCCUUACAAAUUUGCUGUCACAAAAGGGUUCCACGGCCCCAAAAAGUUUGAGAACCCGUUAUGCCGAGAUGCAGGCUGAACAGAUAUCAACAUUAUUUUGUCCCCAUGUCAAUAGAUUUUGUAAACAGCAGGGGAAACACAGAGGUUGAUUAGGGGGAUAGCGAUAAUGGACUGGAGACUGGCCUGUAGGACUUACAUCAUGUGGAACCUAAGUCACAGCCUUGCUGGCAUGAACAUGUUUUUGAGUGGGUGUAUGAUGGGGUGUUAUUCUAUGUAUGUUGUGUCAAUUGAUAGUAUGUCUUUAUGUGGAAUCAGCAGCACUCUUUAAUUGUCCAAGUCAAAUUUCCCCUCUGGGACAAUGAAGUAUAUGAAAUGAAAUUAUAUGCAAGAUGAGAGAGCAACCUACAUCUUAGAUGCAAGGGCAUAGUACAAAAUGAUGUGGCUAGUAGCACCAGUGGCUAAUAGCCUGGCAUAAAAGCAUUGCAUUUCAGUCAACAGUAGCAUUGUCUAAUAGCCCCAGUGGCUAAAAAGGCCAACCUGAAGACUAUAGUGAUUCUGAAUGAUGUAAAGGCCUACAUCAUUACAGAAGUUGGUCGAUACGAAACUGAUACAUACACUUUCAGUUGAACAUUGAGAAUAGUUAGACAUCUACUUUGUCAUGUCUUCUCACCAUUUAGCAUUUUCAGUUCAUUUGCUUAAUUCUGUUUCCUGUGUGAUCUGUGAUGGAAAACACCUGUAGCCUAUACUAUACCCUAGUUUAUGCUGUGUGAUCAAUGAAGCAGGUUACUCAUGUUACUAUAUAUUUGAAAGCAAAGCUAUGUAAGGAUAUGGCAUCCGGCUUGGUUUCUCCUGCAUAUUCAUUCAUUCAUACAAAGAAAAGGGAGUGGUCAAAAAACAAGCAAUAGUGUCUAUUCAUUUCAUUGACAAUAGCCUAUAAAAGUGUUCAUUCUUUACAACUUUGUUUGUGACACAAUAUUACAGUGCAUGAUGAAGAGUCAAUUAGUGCAUAAUGUAGCUCUUUCUUUUACACAUGACGUGAUCUUCAAUAUACAACAAAUAGCCUACACGAUAUAGGUAAUGCCAUGUAUACAGAUUAGUACAUUUUUGUCAUUUAGCAGACGCUCCCAUCCAGAACGAUUUAGCGUUUGCUAAAUUAAGUAACUUGCUCAAGGGCACAGACAGAUUUUUCCCCCUAGUCUGCUCGGGGAUUCAAACCUGCGAUCUUUCAGUUACUGCCCCAACGCUCUACCUGCUGCCCUACCAAGUAUUAGUGUAGUAUAGAGUGGAUAUAACUACAUAGUAAUAGCUGUCAAUAUGACCUAAUACUUUAGUAAUAGCCGUCUAUAAACAUCAACUAGGGUGUUCUAAAAAUGUGAAAAACAAAUUAAACAACUCAUCAAAUCCGUAGUGACCUGUAUAAAUCAAACCCCACUGCGCACAGACGUCAGUUCGACGUCUAGUUCUAAAUUGCACAAUUCAACAAAAAAAUAUCACCAUAUCAUUGGAUUCAGGUUAAAAAAGAGACAGAGUGCCCGCCCAUACGUUAAUGACUUUUUACAAAUCCAAUCCACGCUCAUUCAACGUCAUCACAUAGAUUUUUCAGGGGUUGAAAUGACGUGGAACCAGCGCUGAUUCAGCCAGUUUCUGCCCAAUGGGAGUGGGACACCAACUAGUGAAACUGAAAGCGAACCAUGAUGAAAGGCUCAAUAAUGUUUUGUAAAAAUCAGUGUACACAUUGUACAGUGCAAGCAGUCAUUUACAAACAAAAACAUAACAUAAGCCAAGCCUGUUCGUGUUAAUUCUACUCCACAUGACGUCCUCAUCAUGGUCCAAUGCGUUUGGUACUCCCUGAACCUCUCGAAUGGGUUGAAGACAUCCGUAUGUCAGUACUGCUGUCCAACUGUAAAUACUCUGCAGGAUCCGCGUCUUGGACAUACAUGAGACCACCAAAUGAAUCCACCAUUCCCAUCAGCGCGGCGAGGACAGUGAACGCUGUCCCGAUAAAAAACAUCUUCAAGACGUCUGUCACCAUAGCUUCUCCAGUGAAAUGGACGUGGUCUUGUGUUGAACAACCGCAGCGUCACCUUC
Oncorhynchus tshawytscha (Chinook salmon) is the source of this 3221-nucleotide long non-coding RNA. The record is from Ensembl. NCBI's taxonomy places the organism in Eukaryota, Metazoa, Chordata, Actinopteri, Salmoniformes, Salmonidae.